RNAcentral lists this transfer RNA (73 nucleotides) under Felis catus (domestic cat). It matches the Rfam family "tRNA". From Rfam's summary of the family: Transfer RNA (tRNA) molecules are approximately 80 nucleotides in length. Their secondary structure includes four short double-helical elements and three loops (D, anti-codon, and T loops). Further hydrogen bonds mediate the characteristic L-shaped molecular structure. tRNAs have two regions of fundamental functional importance: the anti-codon, which is responsible for specific mRNA codon recognition, and the 3' end, to which the tRNAs corresponding amino acid is attached (by aminoacyl-tRNA synthetases). tRNAs cope with the degeneracy of the genetic code in two manners: having more than one tRNA (with a specific anti-codon) for a particular amino acid; and 'wobble' base-pairing, i.e. permitting non-standard base-pairing at the 3rd anti-codon position. RNAcentral also lists the same sequence under 1 other name. Lineage: Eukaryota; Metazoa; Chordata; Mammalia; Carnivora; Felidae. The record is from Rfam by way of RNAcentral.
ACCUGGCUGGCUUGGUCGGUGGAGCAUGUGACUCUUGAUCUUGAGGUUGUGAGUUUCAGCCUCAUGUUGGGUA